CGGCUGGUUACUGGACACAAGGCCGCAGCAGCUGCGCAGGACGUUUGUCAGCUCUGCCAGCAGUCGCCCAGCCUGGUUCCAAAUCAUGCUGCUCAGCUUCACACUCUCUUGGGACGUAGCAA
This is a long non-coding RNA of Austrofundulus limnaeus, 122 nucleotides long. RefSeq lists it as uncharacterized. Lineage: Eukaryota; Metazoa; Chordata; Actinopteri; Cyprinodontiformes; Rivulidae. The record is from RefSeq and is a predicted model, not a curated record. The transcript has 3 exons.